This 1361-nucleotide long non-coding RNA is filed under the name Nicotiana benthamiana. Its description in RNAcentral is "long non-coding RNA (NBEN_LNC018119)". Lineage: Eukaryota; Viridiplantae; Streptophyta; Magnoliopsida; Solanales; Solanaceae. The record is from RNAcentral.
GAAGAACCAUCCCAGAUAUCAGACUCUUCAGGAAUCAAUGGCAAACCUAAGAUGCUGACACAGUCAGAGACAAACAUCCAGGAAACUAGAGAAGUGAAGGAAGUUGUGCAAGAGAUGAGGGAUAAAAACUAUGGUACAGGAGAAUAUAUUGGUGGUUUCCUGACAUCCAAAAAGCAGCCAGGCAUUGUUUUUCAAAUCAAAGCAAGCACAUACAGAGCAGCAAGCCAGUUAUAAUAACAAUUGGAUUCAGGUGAACCCUGUUUCCAACACAAAACAUACUAGACCAGUUUUAUCUCAGCCAAAGAACAAAACAGUUGCCACUGAACAAGACAUACCCCUUAACAAAGAGGUAAAAGAUAACAUCUCGAAGUUUAUUCAUAGGAUGGCAGUUGGAGAUGGCAAGCAAAAUUUGGAAGAGGGACCGGGGAGUGUGAUCACACUUGCAGGUGAUAAUAGAGGAGCAUCUAUGCAACUUGGUUCUGACUCGUCCAGAAAAGAAGGACAAUCCACAUUCCCAGAGGCUACAAACUGAAACCAGAUCAAAGUGUCGAUGCAACUACAGAUGCAGAGGGAAAUUCAGUGGGAAGGCGACCAAAAGAUGUAAGGACCAUGGAAGGUCAAGAAAUAGAGGCAUAUCCAAACUGCAACGUGCAGGGCAUGAACAACUCAAUUACAUUUGAUAGUGCCAUUGAGGCAAAAAAUUCAGGUAUACAUAUGUUGUUCCCUCGUAUGCCUUCAGAACCUAUAAGAUCAAGUGAGAGAACUGGACCCUUUGAGGCACACAAGGCUGAAUUUAAUGUAACCCCUGCCCAGAAACUUACAUACGAGCCAAAGAUCAAAAGAAGAUGCCUCAAAGGCCUUUCCCUUGAACCAAGUGAUUCUGAUCCAGAUAACCAUGGUUGCCAUGUUGGCUGCAUGGAGAAAAGUAAUGAUAACGAGAUAGAGAUUCUUUGAAAACUACAAUUGUAAUACAUGUAAUAAGUUAAAUAUCCUUUUGUACUUACUCAAUAACCUCUGUUUAAAGCAACUGCACUUGAGAUGGCUCUGAUAUAUGAAACAUGAUAGUUAUGAAAUGUUGUUCUACUGCCUCGUUUUGAUGUGCAUAUGUGAAUACUAGCCAAAUCUAUUAAAAGGGCAGCCCGAAGAACAAAGCAUUCCGCGUUCACGCAGGAUCCGGAGAAGGGCUGCACCCAAAGGGGGUGUGUAGGCAGCCUACCCUGAUGCUUGGCAAAAUCUGAUUGAGAGAGAAAAAUAGGGAAAGAAGAAGAAAAGGGAACAAAAGAAAGGAGAAGAUAGAACUUCACUAUGUUAGUUACUAUACAUUACUAUGCAUGAUUUAAGGAUGGGAGCAUGGGUUCACG